CGCGUAGGCGGUUUGGCAAGUCUGGUGUGAAAUCCCACAGCUCAACUGUGGAACUGCAUCAGAAACUGCCUGACUAGAGUGCGGGAGAGGAGAGUGGAAUUCCCAGUGUAGAGGUGAAAUUCGUAGAUACUGGGAGGAACACCGGUGGCGAAGGCGGCUCUCUGGACCGCAACUGACGCUGAGGCGCGAAAGCUAGGGGAGCGAACG
Molecule: ribosomal RNA, 207 nt
Filed under: uncultured bacterium
Lineage: Bacteria
Description: partial 16S ribosomal RNA
Rfam family: Bacterial small subunit ribosomal RNA
Source: RNAcentral